RNAcentral lists this ribosomal RNA (300 nucleotides) under uncultured Ignicoccus sp. Its description in RNAcentral is "partial 16S ribosomal RNA". The stretch from base 51 to 300 matches the Rfam family "Bacterial small subunit ribosomal RNA", at positions 547 to 795 of the family's 1533-position model. The record is from RNAcentral. Lineage: Archaea; Thermoproteati; Thermoproteota; Thermoprotei; Desulfurococcales; Desulfurococcaceae.
CGAAUGACGGGGCGGGAGCGUGGGUAAGACGGGGGGGGGGGGGGUGGGCCGGAUUUAGUGGGCGUAAAAGGCGGGUAGGUGGCGACGGCGAGGCGGCGGUGGAAUCUCCCGGCGCAACUGGGGGGGGUCAUGCGAUGCUGGCGGGCUCGAGGCCGGUAGGGGGAAGCGGAAUUCCCGGUGUAGUGGUGGAAUGCGUAGAUAUCGGGAGGAACACCAGUGGCGAAGGCGGCUUCCUGGACCGGUUCUGACACUGAGGAGCGAAAGCGUGGGGAGCGAUCCGGAUUAGAUACCCGAGUAGUC